UACGGAGGGAGCUAGCGUUGUUCGGAAUUACGGGGCGUAAAGCGCACGUAGGCGGCUUUGUAAGUUAGAGGUGAAAGCCCGGGGCUCAACUCCGGAAUUGCCUUUAAGACUGCAUCGCUUGAAUCCGGGAGAGGUGAGUGGAAUUCCGAGUGUAGAGGUGAAAUUCGUAGAUAUUCGGAAGAACACCAGUGGCGAAGGCGGCUCACUGGACCGGUAUUGACGCUGAGGUGCGAAAGCGUGGGGAGCAAACAGG
This 253-nucleotide ribosomal RNA is filed under the name uncultured bacterium. RNAcentral's name for it is "partial 16S ribosomal RNA". It matches the Rfam family "Bacterial small subunit ribosomal RNA", at positions 524 to 776 of the family's 1533-position model. The record is from RNAcentral.